This 381-nucleotide ribosomal RNA is filed under the name uncultured eukaryote. Its description in RNAcentral is "partial 18S ribosomal RNA". It matches the Rfam family "Eukaryotic small subunit ribosomal RNA", at positions 592 to 976 of the family's 1831-position model. The record is from RNAcentral.
CAAUAGCGUAUAUUAAAGCUGUUGCGGUUAAAAAGCUCGUAGUUGGAUUUCUGUCAAGGACAACUGGUCCGCCCCUCGGGUGAGCACAUAGUUUGGUCUUGGCGUCUUGUUGGAAACUGUUGCUGCACUUGGUUGUGUGGCGCAGUGUCCAGCACUUUCACUUUGAGGAAAUUGGAGUGUUUCAAGCAGGCACAUGCCUUUGGACACAGUAGCAUGGAAUAAUUAGAUUGGGCUUUUGCUCCAACUUGUCGGUUUCUGGAGCUGAGGUGAGAAUUAAUGGGGAUUGUUGGGGGCAUCCGAAUUUAGCCGUCAGAGGUGAAAUUCUUGGAUCUGCUAAAGACGGACAACUGCGAAAGCGUUUGCCCAGGAUGUUUUCAUUGA